AACGAACGCUGGCGGCAUGCCUAACACAUGCAAGUCGAACGAGAUCUUCGGGUCUAGUGGCGCACGGGUGCGUAACGCGUGGGAAUCUGCCCUUUGGUUCGGAAUAACAGUUGGAAACGACUGCUAAUACCGGAUGAUGACGAAAGUCCAAAGAUUGAUCGCCAGAGGAUGAGCCCGCGUAGGAUUAGCUAGUUGGUGUGGUAAAGGCGCACCAAGGCGACGAUCCUUAGCUGGUCUGAGAGGAUGAUCAGCCACACGGGGACUGAGACACGGCCCAGACUCCUACGGGAGGCAGCAGUGGGGAAUAUUGGACAAUGGGCGAAAGCCUGAUCCGGCAAUGCCUCGUGAGUGAUGAAGGCCUUAGGGUUGUAAAGCUCUUUUACCCGGGAUGAUAAUGACAGUACCGGGAGAAUAAGCUCCGGCUAACUCCGUGCCAGCAGCCGCCGUAA
This 449-nucleotide ribosomal RNA is filed under the name uncultured bacterium. RNAcentral's name for it is "partial 16S ribosomal RNA". It matches the Rfam family "Bacterial small subunit ribosomal RNA", at positions 29 to 523 of the family's 1533-position model. The record is from RNAcentral.